Molecule: non-coding RNA, 25 nt
Filed under: Rattus norvegicus (Norway rat)
Lineage: Eukaryota; Metazoa; Chordata; Mammalia; Rodentia; Muridae
Source: RNAcentral
UGCUAUUUUGGGGUAGAGCUUUAGA